Molecule: transfer RNA, 74 nt
Filed under: Hordeum vulgare
Lineage: Eukaryota; Viridiplantae; Streptophyta; Magnoliopsida; Poales; Poaceae
Description: tRNA-OTHER
Source: RNAcentral
AUCACACUAGCCCAGCUGGUCAGUGCACCUUGGUUGUACCCGGGAGAUCCUGGGUUCGAGUCCCAUGUUUCCCA